CUAUAAGAGGUCUCCGGUUUAUUAGACAUUUGGUCUAAAUAUAUAGGGUUUUGGUAACCCAGGUUAGUAUCUAAGAUAGAUACAGGUUUUUGAGACCAUAAAAGGUCUCCGGUUUAUUAUAGGGUUUUGGUAACCCAGGUUAGUAUCUAAGAUAGAUACAGGGUAUCUCAGGUAGAUACAGGUUUUGAGACCAUAAGAGGUCUCCGGUUUAUUAAGUCUAUAGGUGUUCUGAUCUAUAAGUAUAACCCAAACUUCUCUUUCUCCCGGUCACCUUUGUUUGUCUUAAGUGUUUUUUUGUGGGUGAUUGUUUGUCUAUAUUGGGGACACACUUUGGUAAGUUAGUAGUGUCCCCACUCUGAGUCAGCAGUAUGGGAAAUGUGAGUUCAUGUCCUGAGUGACCAAUAUAUGUAUGUGUAUAUAUGUGUGUGUAUGUAUAUAUGUGUAUAUGUAUGUAUAUAUGUGUGUGUAUAUGUAUAUGUGUA
Molecule: non-coding RNA, 482 nt
Organism: Pelobates cultripes (western spadefoot toad)
Lineage: Eukaryota; Metazoa; Chordata; Amphibia; Anura; Pelobatidae
Source: the annotation of a GenBank genome assembly